Molecule: ribosomal RNA, 492 nt
Filed under: uncultured bacterium
Lineage: Bacteria
Description: partial 16S ribosomal RNA
Rfam family: Bacterial small subunit ribosomal RNA
Source: RNAcentral
AGUGAACGCUGGCGGUAGGCCUAACACAUGCAAGUCGAACGGCAGCACAGUAAGAGCUUGCUCUUACGGGUGGCGAGUGGCGGACGGGUGAGGAAUACAUCGGAAUCUACUUUUUCGUGGGGGAUAACGUAGGGAAACUUACGCUAAUACCGCAUACGACCUACGGGUGAAAGCAGGGGAUCUUCGGACCUUGCGCGAUUGAAUGAGCCGAUGUCGGAUUAGCUAGUUGGCGGGGUAAAGGCCCACAAAGGCGACGAUCCGUAGCUGGUCUGAGAGGAUGAUCAGCCACACUGGAACUGAGACACGGUCCAGACUACUACGGGAGGCAGCAGUGGGGAAUAUUGGACAAUGGGCGCAAGCCUGAUCCAGCCAUACCGCGUGGGUGAAGAAGACCUUCGGGUUGUAAAGCCCUUUUGUUGGGAAAGAAAAGCAGCAGGUUAAUACCCCGCUGUUCUGACGGUACCCAAAGAAUAAGCACCGGCUAACUUCGUG